AACCUCAAAAAACUAGUCAUUCGGAAUUCUGAAAGACCACAGCACUCUAUGUCUACUUCUAUUAUAGAUUCAUAUUUGACCAUAAUUAUUUAUUUCAACAUUUCUCUGCACUACCAGACUUUGAGUUCCCUGGAACUAAAAAUAUUGCUUGGACCUCACGCUGUACCUGAAUACCUGAGAGGGAACAAAUUCUACCAGUUGCUGUUGGAAGCAAAAGAUCUUUUUCAUUCUUGGAUGCUUUAUAUUUGGACAGAGAAAGAAUCAGAAUCCAUCCUUCUUUUUCCUAACCGGAAUUUGAGAGACAUGAGAAGGGAACUAAACACACAGGCUUCAGGAUCUGGUGGAAAGAGAUAAGGUGUCUCAACGACUGUUGGCCUCAUCAAGAGAUACUACCCCUGAUCUUUUCAUUUCACUUUCCUCGGGUCUGCCUAAACUCAGUGUCUCUCCUAGAAAACCACCCAACUCAUGAAAAACUGUUUGUAAGAAAAUGUUCUCAACACAAAGAAAUAAUAAAGGUUUGAGAUGAUAAAUAUGCUAAAAAAAAA
RNAcentral lists this long non-coding RNA (545 nucleotides) under Homo sapiens (human). RNAcentral describes it as "long independently transcribed non-coding RNA 2098 (LINC02098)". Lineage: Eukaryota; Metazoa; Chordata; Mammalia; Primates; Hominidae. The record is from RNAcentral.